CGAAUAUCAUAUGUUUUUUGUUUACAACUUUAUUUCCUGCGACGCGAAUUUAUUGGACUUUAGUCAUACAAAAUGCUGAAUUUAAAACAAUUGGCCAGCCACGCCUACCGCCAAUACGAACUGGUGACGUGCGUCAAUAUGCUUGAGCCCUGGGAGAAGAAGCUGAUCAAUGGAUUCUUUCUGGUUAUGCUGUUCCUGGUGCUCUUCUCCAGCUUUAUGUAUCUGCCAGACUACAUGCAAACCCUGAUGCAGUUCGUCACGCCGCCCAACUGGCGCAAUUCACCGGACAAUGCAGCCUAUGUGGCACAAAAGAUGGCACGGAGCUGAGCUCCACACUACCCAUAUCACGUACAAGUGCAUCCGGUACACGCAUACUCCCUAUAGAAAGACAACUAUGAUUUAAAGCUUAUGAUAUUAUUGUGAUUUACAUCGACUGGUCCAAGAUCUACAGAUAACAAUGCUCUCCACGAUUCGCAGUGCGGAUGUGUUGAAGAACAGGCCAACCAGUCCUCCCAGGGAAACUGAAACGGCGGUCUCGAGUUCAAAACUAAUAGAGAUUAAUACGGAUAGGCUAGCUUACUCAAGAAAUCCAGGAUUGUCUUAGUCACACGACGUACAUAUCGUUGUGUUGGCAGCUCAACCAACGCCACUCGGAUUUCCGACACUUCAUCGGAGCCUUCAUCAUCCCUAGAAGUUAAAAGUUACAUUUUUAAGUGACCCACUUACUUAUUUGACCUCUCAAAUUGCUUAAAUGAAACUUCCGCAAUAUGCU
This 772-nucleotide unclassified non-coding RNA is filed under the name Drosophila yakuba. RNAcentral's name for it is "GE10582". Lineage: Eukaryota; Metazoa; Arthropoda; Insecta; Diptera; Drosophilidae. The record is from RNAcentral.